GCUAAUANUGCAAGUCGAGCGAAUGGAUUAAGAGCUUGCUCUUAUGAAGUUAGCGGCGGACGGGUGAGUAACACGUGGGUAACCUGCCCAUAAGACUGGGAUAACUCCGGGAAACCGGGGCUAAUACCGGAUAACAUUUUGAACCGCAUGGUUCGAAAUUGAAAGGCGGCUUCGGCUGUCACUUAUGGAUGGACCCGCGUCGCAUUAGCUAGUUGGUGAGGUAACGGCUCACCAAGGCAACGAUGCGUAGCCGACCUGAGAGGGUGAUCGGCCCCACUGGGACUGAGACACGGCCCACACUCCUACGGGAGGCAGCAGUAGGGAAUCUUCCGCAAUGGACGAAAGUCUGACGGAGCAACGCCGCGUGAGUGAUGAAGGCUUUCGGGUCGUAAAACUCUGUUGUUAGGGAAGAACAAGUGCUAGUUGAAUACGCUGUCCCCUUGACGGUAACUAACCCGAAAUCCACCGUUAACUACGUGCCAGCAGCAGCGUUAAUACGUAGGCGG
Molecule: ribosomal RNA, 506 nt
Filed under: Bacillus cereus
Lineage: Bacteria; Bacillati; Bacillota; Bacilli; Caryophanales; Bacillaceae
Description: bacterial SSU rRNA
Rfam family: Bacterial small subunit ribosomal RNA
Source: RNAcentral